UNUGACUUGAGUGCAGAAGGGGAGAGUGGAAUUCCAUGUGUAGCGGUGAAAUGCGUAGAUAUAUGGAGGAACACCAGUGGCGAAAGCGGCUCUCUGGUCUGUCACUGACGCUGAGGCUCGAAAGCGUGGGUAGCGAACAGGAUUAGAUACCCUGGUAGUNCACGCCGUAAACGAUGAGUGCUAGGUGUUAGGCCCUUUCCGGGGCUUAGUGCCGGAGCUAACGCAAUAAGCACUCCGCCUGGGGAGUACGACCGCAAGGUUGAAACUCAAAGGAAUUGACGGGGGCCCGCACAAGCGGUGGAGCAUGUGGUUUAAUUCGAAGCAACGCGAAGAACCUUACCAGGUCUUGACAUCCCGAUGCUAUUCUUAGAGAUAGGAAGUUACUUCGGUACAUCGGAGACAGGUGGUGCAUGGUUGUCGUCAGCUCGUGUCGUGAGAUGUUGGGUUAAGUCCCGCAACGAGCGCAACCCUUAUUGUUAGUUGCCAUCAUUAAGUUGGGCACUCUAGCGAGACUGCCGGUAAUAAACCGGAGGAAGGUGGGGAUGACGUCAAAUCAUCAUGCCCCUUAUGACCUGGGCUACACACGUACUACAAUGGUCGGUACAACGAGUUGCGAGCCGGUGACGGCAAGCUAAUCUCUGAAAGCCGAUCUCAGUUCGGAUUGGAGGCUGCAACUCGCCUCCAUGAAGUCGGAAUCGCUAGUAAUCGCGGAUCAGCACGCCGCGGUGAAUACGUUCCCGGGCCUUGUACACACCGCCCGUCACACCACGAGAGUUUGUAACACCCGAAGUCGGUGAGGUAACCUUUUAGGGGCCAGCCG
This 820-nucleotide ribosomal RNA is filed under the name uncultured bacterium. Its description in RNAcentral is "bacterial SSU rRNA". It matches the Rfam family "Bacterial small subunit ribosomal RNA", at positions 636 to 1455 of the family's 1533-position model. The record is from RNAcentral.